This 72-nucleotide transfer RNA is filed under the name Methanothrix sp. RNAcentral's name for it is "tRNA-Arg". It matches the Rfam family "tRNA". Rfam says of the family: Transfer RNA (tRNA) molecules are approximately 80 nucleotides in length. Their secondary structure includes four short double-helical elements and three loops (D, anti-codon, and T loops). The record is from RNAcentral. Lineage: Archaea; Methanobacteriati; Methanobacteriota; Methanomicrobia; Methanotrichales; Methanotrichaceae. RNAcentral also lists the same sequence under 5 other names.
GUCCCGAUAGGGUAGUGGACAUCCUAGAGGCCUGCGGAGCCUCAGACCCGGGUUCGAAUCCCGGUCGGGACG